This is a long non-coding RNA of Sceloporus undulatus (fence lizard), 736 nucleotides long. RefSeq lists it as uncharacterized. NCBI's taxonomy places the organism in Eukaryota, Metazoa, Chordata, Lepidosauria, Squamata, Phrynosomatidae. The record is from RefSeq and is a predicted model, not a curated record. The transcript is spliced from 3 exons.
CCGCCACCGCCGCGCGCUCAACCCGGAGUAAAUGAGUUGGCCUCGUCCAAUGGGAGCCCGACGGCGAGGGGGUGAUUUGCAUGGCGGCAAGGCAAGGAGGAGGGACGUCCGGAGUGUGUGUUCAGGAUUAUCAACGCUACAGCAUCCCUUCAUGUGAUGCUCUACAAAACUUCACCAGUCCCCAGAGGCCUACUCCCAGGUGCCAAACCCUUGUUCCAGUUUGCACAUGAUACCUGAGUUUGGGAGAACCAGGAGGAGGGCUAUCUGCCCACUGGAGGUCUGGCAAUGUGGUACAUCACCAUCCAUCAUUCCAGUUGGCUGGAACUGAUAGAGGUUGUAGUCCAAAACAUUUGAAGAGUAUCAAGUAGGGAAGGCUGUCGGUAAAUGCAGACAGAAAAUGGUAAACGACCUCAUUAUUCCGUCUAAAACUCUUUCCUUUGAGCAACUGUUUUGGAUAUUAAAUGUUGUUUUAAGUUAUUAAGUAAUCACUUAAAAUUGUUUAACUAAUAGUUAUGAGACAUUACUCUAGGAAAUUCUUUGAUAUAAUCCUACAAAAUCAAUAGGAUCGGAUCACCCAAGUGUAAGUAGUAAUGAACUGGGCCCAGCCUAGUACAGUUUGGGUAGCAAUUUCCACUCAAUAAACUGGGAUUUAUUUCAAACUGUUCAUGCGUAUUGAGAGCUAGCGUGGUGCAGUGGUUUGAUAGUCGGACAAUGACUCUGGAGACCAGGGUUCAAA